RNAcentral lists this ribosomal RNA (444 nucleotides) under uncultured bacterium. Its description in RNAcentral is "bacterial SSU rRNA". It matches the Rfam family "Bacterial small subunit ribosomal RNA", at positions 331 to 792 of the family's 1533-position model. The record is from RNAcentral.
CCAGACUCCUACGGGAGGCAGCAGUGGGGAAUAUUGCACAAUGGGGGAAACCCUGAUGCAGCGACGCCGCGUGAGUGAGGAAGUAUUUCGGUAUGUAAAGCUCUAUCAGCAGGGAAGAAAAUGACGGUACCUGACUAAGAAGCCCCGGCUAACUACGUGCCAGCAGCCGCGGUAAUACGUAGGGGGCAAGCGUUGUCCGGAUUUACUGGGUGUAAAGGGAGCGUAGACGGAAUAGCAAGUCUGAUGUGAAAACCCGGGGCUCAACUCCGGGAGUGCAUUGGAAACUGUUGAUCUAGAGUGUCGGAGAGGCAAGCGGAAUUCCUAGUGUAGCGGUGAAAUGCGUAGAUAUUAGGAGGAACACCAGUGGCGAAGGCGGCUUACUGGACAGUAACUGACGUUGAGGCUCGAAAGCGUGGGGAGCAAACAGGAUUAGAUACCCCUGUA